Impatiens glandulifera is the source of this 1311-nucleotide RNA transcript. It is a transcript of the gene named meiotic recombination protein SPO11-1-like, with no coding region annotated. NCBI's taxonomy places the organism in Eukaryota, Viridiplantae, Streptophyta, Magnoliopsida, Ericales, Balsaminaceae. The record is from RefSeq and is a predicted model, not a curated record. The transcript has 11 exons.
CCCUUUCCUCCCCUCGCUGCUGUUAUUUAGUUCUGGAAGGGAUUUCGAGCCUCGAGACGAGAGAUCCAGAUCCACUUGGAGUCAUAGAAGGUCAGCUGCAUUUUGUUUACUCCAUAUCCAGAUCCCCUGCAGAUUCUACAGAAGAUUGACCUUUUCGUUUAUUCGUUUUAUCGCUCAAUGACUCUAGCGAUACUCGAGGAUGUGUGCAAUGGAAGGUCGCCAUUGAUCUUCAUCGAUCGCUUCCGAAAUUACUGCACCGAUGUUACUAGCCGCUGUGAUUGCAAGUCUGAUUCUUCAAAGGGACAGGAAAUUGUUGGUAUACAAAGAGAAUGCCAUGUACAUAGACUAGAUGUUAUGCUUAGGGUACUGCUCAUUAUUCAGAAACUUCUAUAGGAAGGCAGAAUGCUUGUGCAGGUGUCCGUUGCUAAAGGAUUGGUGAUGGGGUGGCUGAGGUUCAUAGAAGGUGGAAGGAAGGUCGAUUGCAUCAGAAGUCCCAACAAUGCCUAUCCUAUCCCCUAGAUGUUGAAGAAGUUAAAGUGUUUGAACGACUUGCCAACGACGAGUUCUGCAACAAAAAUCGUUGUAUCGUGAUUACUGUUUGUGAGACUUCUAACAGAAAAUCUGUGGUUGCCUACCUAUUGCUUGGUAGAUUGUGAUCCAUAUGGACUUGACAUCUUGACCACAUACAAAUUUGGUUCUAUGCAAAUGGCAUAUGAUGUGAAAUUUCUACGAGUUCUAGAGAUCCAAUGGCUGAGUGCUUUUCCUUCAGAUUCAGAUAAAUACGAUCUUCCACAGCAGUGCUUGUUUCCCUUAACCAAAGAAGACGAGAACCGAAUCGAUGCUGCUUAGAUGUUAUUUACAACGCGAAGUGCCACAUUGGAAUUCAGCCUGAAGUGAAUCCAUUCUGGUGUUGUUGUCCAUGAAAUUCAGCCAGAUUCUUCCAAAUGGCACUGCUUGGAUCUCGAAUCUUGUGAACACAAUCACAGAAUGAGAGGGGAAAGAUGUUCAUUCCCUUGAUCUUAACAUUCCAAUACUUCUUUGUCAUCAAUGGAAUCAAAGGAUGGAUCAGGGAUGACUAAGUACUAGAGAUGUGAUCUGCUUGAGAAGAUCGUGACUAGCUGUAGUUUCAGAUAUGGAAUUCUCUCUUUAAUUCGGUUUUAUUUUUUUGGUUUGAGGAAGAUAAAAAAGACAUUUGUGAUGCUAGAUUAUUUUCGAGAAGAUUUUGUUUGUUCUCUCUGCUAUUGUUUUAGUCACACAUAAUACUGACAUUUGUUCUUCCUCAAAGGUGCUUCAAAUUAGAGCUUUUUAUAU